UACAGAGGGUGCGAGUGUUAAUCGGAAUUACUGGGCGUAAAGCGUGCGUAGAUGGUUAUGUAAGUCGGAUGUGAAAGCCCCGGGCUCAACCUGGGAAUUGCAUUCGAGACUGCAUAGCUAGGAUGCGGAAGAGGGAAGCGGAAUUUCCGGUGUAGCGGUGAAAUGCGUAGAUAUCGGAAGGAACACCAGUGGCGAAAGCGGCUUCCUGGUCCAGCAUCGACGUUCAGGCACGAAAGCGUGGGGAGCAAACAGG
RNAcentral lists this ribosomal RNA (253 nucleotides) under uncultured bacterium. RNAcentral describes it as "partial 16S ribosomal RNA". It matches the Rfam family "Bacterial small subunit ribosomal RNA", at positions 524 to 776 of the family's 1533-position model. The record is from RNAcentral.